GUUAGUGAAAUUCAAAUGGUGGAAUUUCACUAACAUAGACUUUAUAGUAAUCACAAAUAUCUGAUUUUCACAUUCCUAGAGACCAUCAAAAUCUCAGGUACUGGCACUUCUUUCAUAUGGGGUUGUCAUUGCUCUGUCAUUGCCAAGAGGCAAAUUAAUUCUUUAGUCACCCAUUUCCAAAAGGCAAUAGGUUUUACACGGACCUGUAUCACAAGAUCCCUUGUAGAGCUAACAACAGGUGUUGUAUAGGUCAUACAACAUGCUCCCCCAGAUUACUCCAUC
Molecule: long non-coding RNA, 282 nt
Filed under: Hordeum vulgare
Lineage: Eukaryota; Viridiplantae; Streptophyta; Magnoliopsida; Poales; Poaceae
Description: long non-coding RNA (HVUL_LNC008770)
Source: RNAcentral